RNAcentral lists this microRNA precursor (93 nucleotides) under Tursiops truncatus (common bottlenose dolphin). RNAcentral's name for it is "miRNA (ENSTTRG00000024855.1)". Lineage: Eukaryota; Metazoa; Chordata; Mammalia; Artiodactyla; Delphinidae. The record is from RNAcentral.
AUCACCUGGGGAUCUUGUUAAACUGAAGAGUUUGAUCCAGUAGGUAUGGGGGGGACUUGAGAUUCUGUAUUUCUAACAAGUUUCCAGUGAUGC